UGUCAAAAACAGACAAGUGUGUAGCAAUCUGUAUACUUCGUACACUUCUGGUACCUCAAAAACUCUGAAAAGUUAUGACGGCCUGGACAAAAAGCAUAUCUACGAGCAGCAAAAAUAAUCAACUCAAAAGCUCUUUCUGAAUAAAAAUGAAAAAUCAUCUCGUGAGCGAAAAGUUUCUGUCUUUUUUCAGCAGGAUCAAACAACCAUUACCUAGACUAGUCAUAAAGGUUUUGCUUGGC
Molecule: long non-coding RNA, 239 nt
Filed under: Hordeum vulgare
Lineage: Eukaryota; Viridiplantae; Streptophyta; Magnoliopsida; Poales; Poaceae
Description: long non-coding RNA (HVUL_LNC001407)
Source: RNAcentral